This is a long non-coding RNA of Gasterosteus aculeatus aculeatus (three-spined stickleback), 6112 nucleotides long. Lineage: Eukaryota; Metazoa; Chordata; Actinopteri; Perciformes; Gasterosteidae. The record is from Ensembl.
GGCUGAGCCUAUGCAAGUCCCGAUGCGUGGACACGAGAAAAUGAACUAAUCUUUUUUUGAGAGGACUCGUAACUCUCGAAUCCUUGUAAGGAUUCGUUCAAAAUGAACGGAUCGUUCACGAACGACACAUCACUACCGCCCAUUGCAGUUCUUCCUCGAGAAAACAAACUCGACCGAAACACGGCGUGAAAUUAUUGUACAGUGAGACCCUUUUUUAAGUAAUUUUGAGAAGUGUACGUGAGGUCACGUUCACACGCACAACCUGUCCUCAUUCUGCAGGACAUGUUGCUCUUCUACGCGACGGUCGUCUCCGCCUUGUUGGGUGGUUCAUCCUCUGUUAGACCUGAAGUGAAGUGCAAUGGCGGCAGUUUGACUUUCCCAAUUCACUUAACACCACCUCUUUUUAAUGGCCAGCUGUACUUCACUCCGAGUACAGGGGGACGCAGUCGGUUGCUGAUGGAUAAAGGAGAGGUGAGCAACUUUAUCUGCAUAUCACACACAGUGUAACGACGUGGUAUCGUUAUGACAGCCGAGUUCUGUAAUUUGACGUAGAUCAGAAUGAACAGAAUCUUCUCGCUGUCCCGAGUAAAUGUGUUUUUGUUGUCCACCGACUCAGGCAAAGCACCCACGCAUAAAAGUUCAGAGCGGCUCGCUUAGAUUAAUACAGUUGACAGAGAUGGAUGAAGGAAUUUUUUCCAUCUCACGUGACAAUGGUGAACGACAAAAUGCAGUGACGCUGACAAUUAUAGCAUGUGUCGACGAGGUCAUGCGGGAUUACGGGGGCCGUUACUCAACAAAGGUUCCGAGAGAGGCAGAGUUCCUGGAGUUCACUCCCCUUCACGGUGUGGACCAGCUGAAGGUUUUGUGGAAUCGCUCUGACCCUCAAGCCAUCAACGGGGGCAGAGGGCAGAUUAACCGUAAUUUCUACGAGAUUGGGAAUCUCAAUCAGGCAGACAUGGGCUACUACAUCUUCAGAGGAAAAGACAACAAUUUGCUCAUUAGGAUCAAGCUAAUAGUCAAAGGUGAUGUUAGGAAAUCGAAUCUGCGUCAAGCUUUUAGAGUGCAGUGUAUAUGAAAUGUUGCGUUUUAUCACACACAGAGUUGCGGAGAUACUACAAUACAAAGGUUCACGACGAGGUCUUGAUUGAAAAUCCUAUGGCCAAUCGCCUGUGGACGGCGGCUUUUACACCUGUGGGGGAAAAGGAAAACCAAACAUUGAUGAGCGGUGGCCGUCUGGUCAGAGAAGAGGAGUUGGACUCGUACUCAGUAGGUUUUGCAGGGAGGCUGCGGUCCGUUGGCGGGGGCGUACAGAUUUACCCCGUGCAAAUCACAGACUCGGGCACCUUCGCCUUCAGAGACCGACGAGGCCACCUGUUCCAGACCGCAGAGCUGGUGGUCGACCCGGGUGAGCAACGGCACAUUGUUUUCCUUAAAUGCAGGAAUGAACUGAUGAUUCAUAGGAACGUAACCCCCGCCCCAUUCUUCUGCUCUUACAGACCCCUUUUCAACUCUUUCUUUGGUUGGACUAAUUGUUGGGAUUCUCUUUGCUCUGAUUUUCUGCUGUUGCUGUGUGAGGAAGUGCUGUUGUAAAAAGAGGGCCGAGUUUGCUCCUCAGGCUGCAGCCCCACCUGCUGUGUGUCUCCACGACACAAAUCAACCCGGGUGCCCGAGUUACUAUGCUGCACCGGCUAGAGAUCCCAGUACUCCUUACUCAAUGAGUUCCCUAGUUUCCAGGGAACAUACAACUAUCUCUCUCGAGCCGUUGGUUGCUCCUCCAGGAGGGGAGGGAGUCAAUGCAGCUCCUUCACUCGCCACUAAUUUUCUCUCCUCGGACACCGAGCCAACGUUUCAGCUGAAAGGGCCGCAGUAUGCACCCCCCCUCAGUUCAAGCUCAGCUUUCUCGGAUGUUUAUACUUCAGAUAAACUCAACUUUCUGUAAAAAACACUCCAAAAACUCAGGCGACGCACUGUUGAAGCCAUUAUUGUACUUUGUGAGGAGGGGCCCUCGAUAGGUCUGUGUGACAAAACGCACAUUUAACAAUAAAUUCCUGCAAAGUCGUGGCGAUCGGUGCACAGGAUGAGGACCGUGUUGAAAAACUAGACAUAAUUCUCACUAUGUUGACACAGGACCAGUUGGUUCACGCGUGUGAUGUUCUCUUUCUUGCUAUAUAAAUCCAAAUGCAACGUGAUCAAACCGGUAUACUCUUGAUAACUAAGCAGUCAAGAGUUAUACAAAGACGUCUAACAAUUUAAGAAAAAUGUUAACUUAACUGUAGCUCCAUACUAUAGGUUUUGUUGAGUGGACGGAAAUGAUCGUAAUAUCCGUAGUAAAAUGAAAGGAUGAAUUUGUAUUUUAAACUCAGGUUAUAUAAGCAAUGUAUAGGUACACCUUCUCCUGCUGCAAGUAUAUCAAGGGGAAUGUUGGAGUCAUGACUGAAAGUCUGUGUAGCAGAUUUUAUACAGUGAGGACAUAAACCUGAUCAACACCAAUCAAUCACCAGUUAAAUCCCCUGUUACCAGCUGUACUUAACGUUUUUGGUUGUUUCUAACCCAUACGUGCCAAUUCAGCCAAAUAUAUCAACGUGUCUGUGUGGCCUUUGUUAUAUAAUUAUAACUAACGAUAUUUUAGGUUUUUACUUUUACUACUAUGUCUUAGAAAACUGUUACCCUCUGUAUUUUUUGAGAAUAUGCCUUGAUUCAUUAACCAUAACAGAUGUGGUCUACAUAUUUUGUAUAAAUAUGUGUCUGUAUUAUGUGUAAAAUAUGUAAGUAUACUUUGACUUGUGUUUUAAAUGAGGUAUUUUGAAAGCUAAAUAAACUGCCUUACUGGACUUAAUAUAAUCCCCAUCAGAUGUAUGCAAUGAAAUUGACCCUAACCCACAAUUAUAGAAUCUGUGCCCCACGACAACUACAAUUUUAAGAAUAGCAACAUUUAAAAGGGCUGUUAUGUAUGUACACCACGAUAUAAUCAUAAAACAAUUUCUAUUUAGAGAAAAAAUGAAAAUAAUGCAAAUUCUCUCACAGUUACAUUAUUGUUGGAUUUAACCUUCAGAUGCAAUUCAUCAAUCUUGAUGUUGCUGUUAAAAGGCUAAAUAACACAAUGGCAACAAUGUGUUUCUUUCCCCUUUGUUCCAGACCAAAUUAACCAAACUAGAGGAGAUAAGGCACCUUGGGUCCUGGGUCCGGUCCGACGUAACCCGGUGACGCUGCGCGCUUGAGGGGUUUGUUCGACUCGUCCAGAAUCAGGAAGGGCGGUUCCGUUGAAAACCUCCCCGCUAAACGCCGCGCACACACACUGGAAUUCAGCUUUCCCCACUCGGGUCACAUUCAGUUCCACUCGGCCUGACCCCUUAGGCUCUCGAACGUAAUGCAAUCUUGAUUUUGGGGCUCAAACGCAAGGCAUAAAUACACGAGCGGUACCCAUCUCCGAUGACACGUGAACGCACCACGCACGGACACGCCCUUCUCCGUUUUCUGCAUUCUGAAUACGGAGCUUCGUGCGGCAUUGUGUUGUUACCGUAUUAAUAACGUUAUAGUGCGCUGUACUACUUCUGUCUGAAUAGUGUGAACACACUAAAGAGUUUGCCGUCACCUACAUGUUGAACUGUGAACUGGUCCCAGUUUACACUGGACUCACGUUUACAAUCACGGGAAAUGAUGAUAGUCUUGUUGUUGCUGGGUGCCCUUGGUUGUAUGGGAGUCUCUCGUGUCACUGGCGUGGUGAAGAAGUAUGGGGAGAGUUAUUACUUUAUGCUGCAUGGAAACCCUCACGUCUUAGAGUUCCACCCGGAGCACAACUCAAAUGUGACAAUAUUGUGGAAAAAGGAUCAACGCGUAAUCACAUUGGAUAGGAAGUUUGUAAUGACGGGUAGUAUCUUUGCGAUACAUAAGUUAACUCAGAAUGACAGUGGCCACUACAUAAGUAGAGACAAAGAUCUGAAAGAAAUUUCCACCUACACACUUGAAGUAAAAGCAACCACGAGGACCUAUAGUCCGGAACCUGGUGAUCGCCUCAGCUUCACCUUCAAUCUGAAACCAGACUCCUGCAACAUUUACUUCUUCCCAAGCAGAACUCGCCGGCUGAGAAUGUUGGAGAAUAAAAUAAUUCGUGGCGGCGUGCUUCAGGGGGAUUCCGAUGAACUUUAUUGCAAAGGGUUUGAUUUUUUACAUCCAUGUGGGAUUUCAAAUAAAGUCCUCCAGAUUUCUUGCGACGGACGCUAUGAGAUCCGAGAUCAGAAUGACAACACGGCCUUAAUGGUGUCACUGGAUAUGAAUCAAAUCCUAAGGACCGUAAUACGGACACCUGGUUACAACUUCAACUUCACUUUUAAUCUGGAACCAAACUCCUGUAACAUUUACUUCCGGCCAGAAGGCGACUCAGUGAUUAACUUAGUCUAUGGAGGCGUGCUGCAGGAGGGUUUGGAUGAAAUCGGUUGCAGCGGGUUUGAGCUGUUAAAGCCAUGUGGGAUUUUAAACAAGGUCGUCCAGAUGUCGUGCAACGGAAGGUAUGAGAUCAGAGAUCAGAAUGACAACACAGGCUUUGUGGUAACACUGGAAAUGGAGCCACAACCGUAUUCGCUACCUGGUCUCAGUAUUGGGGUUGGCGUCCUCUCCAUGUUCUUGUGCUGUUGCUGCAAGAUCUGCUGCUGUGGGAAGAAAAAGUCCCAAGAGGAGCCGACUGAAACUGCUGCUGCCGAACCAGAGGUCCAAUACCAAAGGCGUUACAAUGAGCCCUGCGGACCGAGCUCAGACCAACUCAUUGAGCCCUUUGGGACAAACUGCUUCAAUCAGCCUUCUUCUGCUCCGAGUGAUUCGCUGGUACACAACCAUCCGUUUCAGGAUUCGCCGCCCUCUUAUUCUGAGGUUUUACCUGAUGCUCAGCAGCCAGCUGCUCCAUCUCUCCCAGUGCACCAUGACCCUGAACCCAAGUUUGAAUUUAAGGGCGUGACCUUUCCCUGUGCUCCCCCACUCGAGUCCGACUCAAGCCGCUGUGACGUUUAUACCUCAGACAAACUCAACUUCCUAUGAGGGCCUUAUUUCCAAAGAUACAUCGGAAUGCGUGAACACUUCUUUGUUAACGUACUGAUUACUGGGACAUGGAAGGAUUAGCUUGAUAUUUUAGCAAAUACGCAUAUUCUUUUAAUGGAUUAAGCCAGUAAGGGAACCUUGCGUGCCCAAGGGCACCCUGGCAAUAUGUGCACGAGAGGUCUUUAUUUAAAGGUUGAAGUGCCCUUUUAUCUUCCUGCCAUAUGACCUCUUAUACAGCCAUUUGCAUUUGCGAAGCCUGUUAUUUUUGUUAUUUGUGAAAUGAAUCUUUACCCGUCCGAUUCUACCUCUUGAUUGGCUCGGACAUGUUGCCUUAUUUGCAGAAUUUGUUAGCUCUGGAUCAGUGGAAUGAAAAAUAACUUUUGAAUGAAAAUCUGAGAAAGAAUUCACAAUAAUGUUCUACCUCGUGAGUCUCACUUGAAUUGCUCACAGGAGCCUACGGAGUGAAUAGCUGCCUCAUUCCUGCUGUUUUACUGCCAUGAUUUACUGCAGACCGGCGUUACUGUGACGACACAAAGGUAAACCAGUCCUAUGUUUGCAAAGUUGUCUGUAUGUGAAAGUCGUCGUUGCUCUAGAGGUACAUUUGCUUGACGAUCUCUUGCGUGGAAUUUCACUUGCAGCUGUUAAAAACUUCUGUUAAAAACUUGUAAAAGUUGAUACUUCCAUUGUAGUUUAGUGUGGAUUCUUCAAAUUAACCUCUAUUGGCUGUUAACGAAUAUUGAUACAUAGUUAGUGUAUUUAAUUUGCUCAGGCCAGUUACAUAAAUAUAUCUAGAUGUGUAGAAGUCAUAUUAUAUGGAUUGUUUGAAAAACACAAAAGAAACAAGACCCAGUUUCGGUUUCCUGUUACAUAUUUUCAUAUGUAACUGCAUAUAUGUCAAAAUGUUACCAAACGUGCAUUACAUUAAGUCUAAUAUAUGUGGGACUUUUACAAACAUAUAUUUUUUGUGUACGUUGUUAAACAUGCAUGAAUUUAUUGAUUGUAUAAUUGGAUUUGGUGUUUAAAUCUUUAAUGCAUUAAAUCUAAUAACACUGAAACUAUUUGGUUUGGAAUGUUUCUUUUUUUU